Molecule: transfer RNA, 93 nt
Filed under: Clostridiales bacterium
Lineage: Bacteria; Bacillati; Bacillota; Clostridia; Eubacteriales
Also listed under: 2 other names
Description: tRNA-Ser
Rfam family: tRNA
About the family: Transfer RNA (tRNA) molecules are approximately 80 nucleotides in length. Their secondary structure includes four short double-helical elements and three loops (D, anti-codon, and T loops). Further hydrogen bonds mediate the characteristic L-shaped molecular structure. tRNAs have two regions of fundamental functional importance: the anti-codon, which is responsible for specific mRNA codon recognition, and the 3' end, to which the tRNAs corresponding amino acid is attached (by aminoacyl-tRNA synthetases). tRNAs cope with the degeneracy of the genetic code in two manners: having more than one tRNA (with a specific anti-codon) for a particular amino acid; and 'wobble' base-pairing, i.e. permitting non-standard base-pairing at the 3rd anti-codon position.
Source: RNAcentral
GGAGAAGUCGCCUAGCCCGGUUUAUGGCGCACGACUGGAACUCGUGUAUGCGUUGAUAGCGCAUCGAGGGUUCGAAUCCCUCCUUCUCCGCCA